Xiphophorus couchianus (Monterrey platyfish) is the source of this 322-nucleotide long non-coding RNA. RefSeq lists it as uncharacterized. The transcript has 2 exons. NCBI's taxonomy places the organism in Eukaryota, Metazoa, Chordata, Actinopteri, Cyprinodontiformes, Poeciliidae. The record is from RefSeq and is a predicted model, not a curated record.
CCUUCCUUCCUUCCUUCCUUCCUUCCUUCCUUCGUCCAAACGGCCUGCUGCUCAGACGGACCCGAAUCAGCUCCGGUAUUAACGCACAACGACGCCGAGGUUUCCGGAGCAAGCUUUUCUUUACCUCUCAUCUUCGAGCAUCAAAUGCUGCUUCACUCUGCACCAAGCAGCGUUUCAAAGGAAGAAACACCAGCAAAAAACAGCAGGACUUGAUUUCAACAAGAAAACAAACUUACUAAAUAAGUUUAAAUAAAAGUGAGCAACUUCCAGCUUUGUCCAGACAAAAAUCCAUAAAACGAAGCAAAAUGCUGCCAUUCAAUGU